Long non-coding RNA from Tripterygium wilfordii, 5404 nucleotides. RefSeq lists it as uncharacterized. Lineage: Eukaryota; Viridiplantae; Streptophyta; Magnoliopsida; Celastrales; Celastraceae. The transcript has 5 exons. The record is from RefSeq and is a predicted model, not a curated record.
GUGGCGAGUUAGUUUGGUUUUUCAUACUCGCGCGUUUGGUCCGGUAAUGAGAGAGGCAAAAUAAAUUGUGCCCAUUAGAUGUGGAAAUGAGAUGUGGACCGUUUGAUCAGGAAGGAUAUUUUGGAGAGAGUAAAUGCUGUGUAAAGCAGUCUUGCGUGCAAGCAUCAUUUGGCGUGUUGAUCCUUCUCUCAUUUAGAGCUUCUAUGUAGUUGGUGUUUCUCCCUCCUAAUCUCUUUGCAAUCUACCUGCUUUCAUCUUCUCUGUCGAUCAAGAACCCGAACAAAGUUGGAUUCAAUGUGGACCGUUUGAUCAGGAAGGAUAUUUUGGAGAGAGUAAAUGCUGUGUAGAGCAGUAUUGCGUGCAAGCAUCAUUUGGUGUGUUGAUCCUUCUCUCCCUUAUAGCUUCUAUGUAGUUGGUGUUUCUCCCUCCUAAUCUCUUCGCAAUCUACCUGCUUUCAUCUUCUUUGUCCAUCAAGAACCCGAACAAAGUUUGAUUCAAGUACAAAAACAGCACCGCCCUCCUUAAUUACAGAGGGGAGCAAGUCGGAGAAGUUCUGAUUCCCGCCGACAAGAUCUUGGCAGGCGAGACUAUGGCUGUGAACUUGACCCUCACGAUCAUAGCGGAUAAAUUGUUCUCCAAUUGACAAGUUUAUUCGGAUGUGAUUGGCGGCUAUGAACUUGACCCUCAAGAUCAUAGCGGAUAAAUUGUUCUCCAAUUGGCAAGUUUAUUAGGAUGUGAUUGGCGGUGAGUUGCCUCUGUUCACUUUUACUCGGAUCUCCGGUGAGGUCAGUGUUAUUAGUAUUAAGCUCAAAGUGGUUUCCACCGUCAUUUGUGAUUUAACUGUCUUUAUUUCUAAUAGAACGGUUGGUGAUCAACACUGCAAAUGUAAAACAAAAUUAUAGUUCCAUUUUUUGUUCUUAUGUACUUGAUUAUGCUAUUGCUGUCAAUUUUCCAUGUAAUUAUUUGUCUGAUUAUAAACUCAUAUUGAUAAAUUUUACUUCUUCCAUCAAAUUUUUUGGGUAUAUGUAACAACUACUGUGGAAUUCCUCGUAUGCAUACGGAAUUCACAUCUCCUUGAUUGUGAUGGUUAUUUAUUGUUUUGUGCUCUCUGUAGUACAGAGUACCGUGUGACAUUCUUUGUGGAGCAGAGUACUGUGAAGGGUAUUCUUCCUUCAUACUUACAUUGCUUUCAUGAUUUUAGAUUAUUACUUUAUUUUUCUUAUCUUUGUCUUUUCAUUCAGGUUUUUUUACUUUGUUUACGUCCGUUUUAAUGUGGUGUUUUCUUUGACGGGCCGUUUCCAUAUAUAGAUUUCUUGCCUUUGGUUAUGGGUGAUGGUGUUUAUGUAAGUUGCAUCUUUAGUUAUUGGUGAUGGUGUUUAUGUAAGUUGCAUCUCAUAUUUUUUGUACUUUUUUGGGGUUAGGUAUGAAAUAUCAUGUACGUUCUGUUUUGGAUUAUUUUUUAUACAUGUAUAUCCAGGUUUUAAUUUUUUUUUUAACUCAAAUAAUUGUUGUUUCUCUUCAUACUUACAUUGCUUUCUUCAUUUUUUUUACUAUUACUUUAUUAUUUUUCAUCUUUGUUUUUAUGUCCGUUCUAAUGGGGUGUUUUAUUAGACGGGCCGUUUCCGUAAAUAGAUUUCGUGCCUUUGGUUAUUGGUGAUGGUGUUUAUGUUUUUUUACCGUGUUUAUGUCCGUUUUAAUGGGGUGUUUUCUUAGACGGGCCGUUUCCGUUAAUAGAUUUCGUGCAUUUGGUUAUUGGUGAUGGUGUUUAUGUAAGUUGCAUCUCAUAUUUUUUGUUCGUUAUUUAAUAUCCAUGUUUUAAUUGUGUUUUUCUUUUUUACCAGUUUCUUUGUUGUUUAUCUUCAUACUUACAUUCCUUCAUCAUUUUAGAUAAUUACUUAAUCUUUCUUAUCUUUGUUUUCUCAUCCAGGUUUUUCUACCGUGUUUGUGUUUAUGUCCGUUUUAAUGGGGUGUUUUCUUAGACGGGCCGUUUCCGUGAAUAGAUUUCGCGCCUUUGGUUAUUGGUGAUGGUGUUUAUAUAAGUUGCAUCUCAAUCUUUUUGUACGUUAUUUAAUAUCCAUGUUUUAAUUGUGUUUUUAUUUUUUUACCAGUUUCUUUGUUGUUUAUCUUCGUACUUACAUUCUUUCAUCAUUUUUUAUAAUUACUUUAUGUAUGUAUUGUCAUCGGUCAUUAUGCACCAUAAUUUUAUAAUUCUUCAAAAAUAAGAAGUUGGGUUGUGGGAUAUUUCUGCCUGAUGUUUGUAGUUAAUUUUCUGAAUUAUUUGGGAGUUCAUGCGUUUGUGGUUAUAUUUUGUUGUCUUUCAAUACAACCAUUAUCUGAGUUGGUCAUGCUAUUGGGGUUGGUGUCUUCAAUUAUGUCGAGUACCUUGGAGGUUCAUCUUCUACGUCUUUCCUCUUUUUUCUUGGUUCUAUUUGUGGUUGAUUUAAUUGCCUUAUUGAUACUUUUGGUUUUCCCUUAAUUUGUUUUACUUAUGAGUCUUGGUAUGGUUUGAAAGGUUUUGUUGUCAUUAACUCUAGGGCUCCUUAUAUGUAGGUGUUACCUUUGUUGACAGUCUUUUAAAGCUUGGUGUCUGCAGUUCUGUGGGAUACCUGGCAGGGUAGUUUACUGGGGCUUUAUAUGUGUUCUCAUACAACUAUUUUUACAGGGUUUUGCUAUUUUCUUCUCACUGGUGUUGCUUUAAUAUUUUUUUUUGUGGUAUAUGAUUUAUUUGGACUAUUGGUUGACCUCUUUCCUCUGCUUUUUAUGUAGAAUCUCCUCCUGGUUUUGUUAAUUAUUAUCCAGGUUAUUUUUGUUUAUGUCUAUGUAUGUAUUGUUAGUGUCAUUCUGAGAUAGGCUGCGGCCGUGGUUCGAUUUUUUUAGUCUGGUUACUUUUUAUGGUGUUGGGUUCUAUAUGCUUUAGAUGGGCAACUUUUGUUUGGCGAGAAGAGACUGUGGUAUGUGGGACUAUGUCAUUGCCAUUAUCGUGCAUAGGGAUUGAGAACUAUUAUUUCCAACGGAGUAUUUAUUAAGUCAAAUCAAAGAAGGCUUUUAUGUUCUUUGCUCAUGAACUGGACCUAAAGUUUUAAGGAGCACAAGACAUGGAAUUUCAUUGAAAGAGAGUUAUCAUCAUCAUUUUACUGGAUAGUUGAGCAAAAGAUUUUUACUUGAAAAUUUUAGUGCUGGUGAUUCUAAAUAUUAUAUUUCGAUCGAGUUAUGGGAGUUGAUCUGGAUGGGAUGUGUUGAUAAAUCAAUGAAUUGGACAGAUGGAGCAAAGAUGGAAAGAAAAGUGGUAUUUAUUCAGCUUAAGAGACAGGAAGCACCCAACUGGGUUAAAAAAAAAAGGAGCCACUAGAGCUACUAGAAUGCCACAGGGAAAGACAGAGAGGUUUACAGUGCUUCAACAGGUGCUUUACUUUGCAUGAAGAAUUUUUGGGUAUGAUCAACAUCUUUCUUACAUCAAUUUCUUGGUUAUUUCUUUUUAGUUACCAUCUAAUUCUAUAAUUUUGUUGUUGCUAUCAUUGCAGAGUAUGUUUGAUUCUAAUUAGAAAACCCAAGAUUGGUCUGAAUCAGUGUUGGUUAUUGGUUUGUAGAUUGAAUUUCGAGAAUUGUCUUAAAUCACUUUACAUGAUUAGAUAGAUAUGACUUUCUUUCUAUUUGAUUUGAAAUUUUCGUUCUAGAUUUAGAGUCAUGUUUAAUUUUGCGGGGUUUAUAUCUAGACAAGGGGAUAUUGAGAUACAGUUCGUGAAAGUUGAGAAAUUCAAUAGGAAUUUAGUUUCAGAUGGCUGCAACAAUGGAAACUGGCAGUAUAUGGGCUUUGGAUUAGAAGUUUGAUUAGUCCAUGGAUGAGGAGGCUGGCAGUCUCAAGAAUAUGUACAGAGAAAAUGUACUUUUUUAUUUUUUGUUUAUGUCAUUUUGUUUAUUAGUGAGUGAAUAUGGUUGUACCUUUCGAAGUAGUACAACAACAUCUUCCUUUACUAUUGUAAUUGACCUACAACUUAAAAUUCCGAUUGAUAUAGCUGUGAAUUUAUUGGUUAUACUAUGUCUUAUGCAUUCUGUUUUGCUAUUAAUUAUGAUGCCUGAGUGUCAGUCUGUAGACUGAUGUCUAUUUGACAAUGAAUAUAGGCCGUUGACAGUUACAAUCAAUUGUAGAAGAGUUAUUCUAUCUAAUUGAGUCAUACCGAUGGGGAGAUGCAUGGUCUUGAUAUACAACGACCAUGACCUUUACUAAUUACACACUAACGAGAUAAUGUUAUGUGAAGUGAGCUUCUCGAUCUGUUUAGACAUGGUCUGGUAUGUCAUUUAAAUACUUUAGUUGGGAAUUUGAUUUAUGAUUUAUGUGCAUAGUUUUAGUUUUGGACUUUCAAGGAUUGAAUUGGAUUAGAUUUUCAAAAGUUGCAUUUCAUUUGUUGAGGUGGUGCAUUUCAUUUCAUGACCUAGCAUUGAAAAAAAUUGUAAACCCAAGAUGUAUGUGGCAUUAAUAUAUGUUCAACCCAAGAUGUAUAUGGCGAGGUGGUUCCAGGCAUUGAUAACAAUGUCUUGGGAGAAUGAGAUAGAGAUUCGCCUGUUCGAUAUGGAGGAGAAUACGACGUCUCUGUCUGUGGUGUACAAACUUGGUUUUGAGUUUUCGAUCCUUCUAAAUGGGUGGGAUUGUGUCAGUGAAAUGAAAUUUGGAUGCUAUUUCUUUCUGAGUGAAUAGACACUGAUUUUCAUGUUGGUGGUACUAUUUUGAUUCUUCUAUCUGGGUUUGUAUUCAUCUUCGUUUACACUAUUUAGAUUCCCCUGUGAAAUGCUGAAUUUUAAUAUCUAUUUGUUAAUUUUUCCCCUUUUUUCAUUGUAGCUUUUGAUCAUAGAUUGGAAGCUUGUGUUUUUGACUUUUCCGUAUGGGGUGUGGGAUUGGAAUAAAUUUGUCGACAUGAAAACUUACUCCCCUAAGGUCAGUCCUAGGGGGUGCUGCCUCAAAGUGAUGUUGGUACAUUCAAUGUUGAGGACAGAAGCGAAACCAUGGAGAUCGUUACUUCUCCAAGGAAAGAAGUUGAGAAUAAUAUGGGGAUGAUGAACAAGAAGACCGAAAUUGAUGGGGAUAGAGACAGGAUGUCAAUUGGGAGGAGAACAGUAGUGGUGGAUUUAACAUAUGGAAGUGGAGCGUAAAUGGGAUUGGAGCUAUAUGUUCAUUUGAUGUUUGCUGCUACUACCUUUUGUGUCAGUCGCCAGAGAAACAAACAACAGGAGCAGACCAGAAAAUAUUGACUUCCUGAUUUAAGUGCUUUCUUAGCCAACUUCUAGACAUGAAUAUUAGUAAUCUAUUCCAUGGAAAUUUUUAUUAGUAUCCUUAUUAAGGGAAUUGUAUUGAAAAGUUGUGGAGGUGAAUUUUGGAUGGAAAUUGAUCUGCCUAUGAUUUUUGGAUGCA